CCUACGGGGGGCUGCAGUGGGGAAUAUUGGGCAAUGGGCGCAAGCCUGACCCAGCAACGCCGCGUGAGGGAAGAAGGUUUUCGGAUUGUAAACCUCUGUCGCAGAUGACGAAACAAAUGACGGUAAUCUGUGAGGAAGCCCCGGCUAACUACGUGCCAGCAGCCGCGGUAAUACGUAGGGGGCGAGCGUUGUCCGGAAUUACUGGGCGUAAAGGGAGCGUAGGCGGUCGAUUAAGUUGGAUGUGAAAUACCCGGGCUUAACUUGGGGGGUGCAUCCAAUACUGGUUGACUAGAGUACAGGAGAGGAAAGCGGAAUUCCUAGUGUAGCGGUGAAAUGCAUAGAUAUUAGGAGGAACAUCGGUGGCGAAGGCGGCUUUCUGGACUGACACUGACGCUGAGGCUCGAAAGCGUGGGGAGCAAACAGGCUUAGAUACCCCUGUAGUC
RNAcentral lists this ribosomal RNA (443 nucleotides) under uncultured Bacillota bacterium. RNAcentral's name for it is "bacterial SSU rRNA". It matches the Rfam family "Bacterial small subunit ribosomal RNA", at positions 338 to 795 of the family's 1533-position model. The record is from RNAcentral. Lineage: Bacteria; Bacillati; Bacillota.